GAUGAAGAACGUAGCGAAAUGCGAUAAGUAAUGUGAAUUGCAGAAUUCAGUGGAUCAUCGAAUCUUUGAACGCACAUUGCGCCCGCCAGCAUUCUGGCGGGCAUGCCUGUUCGAGCGUCAUUUCAACCCUCGAGCCCCCCCGGGGGCCUCGGUGUUGGGGGACGGCACACCAGCCGCCCCCGAAAUGCAGUGGCGACCCCGCCGCAGCCUCCCCUGCGUAGUAGCACACACCUCGCACCGGAGCGCGGAGGCGGUCACGCCGUAAAACGCCCAACUUUCUUAGAGUUGACCUCGGAUCAGGUAGGAAUACCCGCUGAACUUAAGCAUAUCAAUAAGCGGAGGA
RNAcentral lists this unclassified non-coding RNA (343 nucleotides) under soil metagenome. Its description in RNAcentral is "partial contains 5.8S ribosomal RNA, internal transcribed spacer 2, and large subunit ribosomal RNA". The stretch from base 1 to 120 matches the Rfam family "5.8S ribosomal RNA", at positions 35 to 154 of the family's 154-position model. The record is from RNAcentral.